Molecule: long non-coding RNA, 1802 nt
Filed under: Solanum tuberosum (potato)
Lineage: Eukaryota; Viridiplantae; Streptophyta; Magnoliopsida; Solanales; Solanaceae
Description: long non-coding RNA (STUB_LNC004516)
Source: RNAcentral
ACAUAUCCAAAACAUAUAAGCAAGUUAAAACAAAUAAAUGCUAAAUAGUAAAAGCGACCCCCAAAUGAAUUUUUCUUGCUAUUUGGAUAGUCUAAGAUAUCGACUUCAUGUGCGGGUAUGAUGGUGUCGAGUCCAUGAGACUCUAAUUUUGGUAGAGUCCUUAAAUGAGCCCUCUUGCACGGUGAGAGUCUUUUAUUGAGACUCCAAAUAGCUCCGGAAGUGUUCAUGCAAAUAAAGAACAAAAUAAAGAGAUUAGGGAGACAAAUCCACUUUAAGACUAUAUCAAAUAAACCAAACAUGAAGCUAGUAAAGUCGUACAACCAAAAUACUAUCCGGAAUGGAAAAUAUGUAAGCAUAGGAUAAGUCGACUUAUUAACAUAACUCAAAGUAACUAGUCUACAAGAUAAAACUAACUCUCAAGUUUAUCCAACUUAAUCUAUAACAAAGUUACAUUUUAAGGCAUGAAGAUAAUUAAAACAAGCCAUCUAUUUAAAACUUAUAAGAAAGAUUUAACAGAUAUACUAUAUAUGUUGACAUAAUAGGAAAGAAACUUAAAAACUAACAUUUUUUAAAAUAACAUAUUCAGAGAUUUACAUGUCAUUUAUUUAGAAAAAUUGAAGGAAGCUUAUGUACACAUAUUUGCUAAAAAAUAAUAGGAAAGAAGUUUAAAGAUUCACAAGCAAUUGACAGUAGGUUUUCCAUUCAACAGAGGGAACACAUAGAGGCAUCAUAACAUAAAAUCUAUUGCCAGAUAAGGAUACCAAAUGCCAUUAAUUUAUAAGAACAGAAGAUUUGAUCACAAAACCAUUAUAUGACAGUUAAAAAUGUAAAAUAAACGUGACUUUGGAUAUCUAAAAGAUUUGAGCUAAGCCCAAAUACAUUUUAAACAUCACCUUUAGUAUAGCUAAAAGUGAGCAGAGACAACAUUUUCGUCAUGAUGACAAAGAAAAAAAAGGAAAAGAGGAACACAUUACAAGUUGGCUAUCGAAAUACAAAGUUUAGGGCAUUUUAUUUGUGCCUUAAUCUAGUAAAAGGCAAUACUCCGACAAACAUAAACGAAGGAAUACAUAUUUGUAUAGGCUGAACAAUAUCUCAAAACAGAGGGAUAUAUAUUUGGUUAACAUCACUUAAGUAUGCUGAUAAGUAUUUUACUCAUUUGUCAAAACUUCAAACAAAGCAUAGUUUCCAAAGAGUUUACUACCUAAAAAUGAGUCUUGGAAACAUGAUUUCUAAAAAAAAAAACAAUCUUCAAAAUACUUUAACAUAUGAUUUUAUAAAAAGAAAUGAACAAAAAGUGAAUAUUAAAAUCAAAGACCAGCUAAGUUACAUUCAUUCAUCAUGAUGCCAAAACACAAAAGUACUGAAAUGAAACUAACAGUAAGUCCAUAACACAAUAAAACACAAAUUCGUCCACAUGUCAUGAAAAUAAAAUAAAAAAGAAACUAGAUGUCACUGACCUAUUUCGGGGCAACGAACUGGGGCGUUUUCGGUCGAAGAUCUAUGCUCGAAUACAAAGACGAGGGUAAGCCUGUUCAAAUCCAAAAUUGUAGCAACAAGAUGAAGAACAAGGCUUUAAAACUAGGUGUGAUAGCUUCAAAGCUUUUAGGGUAAACGAGUAGCUGAAAAAAUUAUCGAAAUUGAUUCCAAUUACAAGUAUUUAUAGGGAGAAAAACAGAGUCUAUGAGCGGGAGUUUGAAUUUUUGAAUUUGUCAAAAAAACAAACCUUCAAAUCCAAACGUUUGAAGCCCUUAGGAUAAGAUUUGCUGGAGCCACGUGAUUGAGAUGACAUCGGUGUGAAGAUG